Non-coding RNA from Cherax quadricarinatus, 4181 nucleotides. The record is from RefSeq and is a predicted model, not a curated record. Lineage: Eukaryota; Metazoa; Arthropoda; Malacostraca; Decapoda; Parastacidae.
GCCUGGUCGUGGACCGAGACGCAGGGGCGUUGAUCCCGGAAUACACUCCAGGUAGAUAUAACAGCCGUAUGACGGUUGGUAGAAGUAUACCCUAUGACCCUUUCAUAUUCGUAUUCCCCCUCACCUCCGAGCGAGUGUCAGAAACUGGACUCUUAUCAAGCAGGACCUUUGCUUAGCAGACGAAGAUAUUAUAACUACAUAAUAAACCGCAAGUAUAACAUACCAUGUCUAUCAUAUGGUCCUUCACACUUCCCCAUUUCACCCACAUUAUCAGAUAUAUCACAAAAAAUAAAUAUUAAAAAAAAAAAAGACCAGUAUAUGUACAAAUAUCGAAAAUAACACAAGUGGAAAACAAAAUACCUCUGCAGACUGUUCAAUAUUUGUGUAUCGUUCCAGUCACGGUAUUGUGCAUUUUUUUGUUAUUGAACUGGAAAAGUUCGUCUAGAAUGUGGCCGGAGGAAUGGCAGAAGCAGUUUAAUGUAGAUAACUGUGAAGUUUAUUUUAUAAACUUUUAUAAAAUUUACAAAAUAAACAAUCAAACUGAAUGCGAAAAUGAAUAAGGAAUUCUGGCUAGCAGUAUGGUAUACAGAGCUCUGUGGCCCGCUCCAUGGUUGCAGAUCGACAGGACGACACUGUCUAGUCUGUGACUUAAUGUAUUAAGUUAAAUGAUGGUCUAUCUGAUGGCCUAUUUGUCUACACAAAUCUUAGCUUUACCACUGUACAUGUUAUUACAGCUGUUACUAUCCGUAUACUACCUACUUCAGCAGACUCUUAAAUCAGCGGGCAUAAUAACAUCUUUGAAUUUAAGAGACGUUGUAUAGUGUAUUUAGGCUGGAAUAUAACCCUACCUAUCACCCAGGAGUAAAGUACUUUUAACAAACUUAGUUAACCUAUUUCUUAAAGAACAACUUUUGUGAAAAAAGUAUUUCACAAUCUUUAAUGUUCAUUAAUAAUUAAAUUGUAAUUGAACAGACAGUUAUUGCCUCAUAAUUAGAGUAAUUAUCUACUUAAUCCUAUUAAUGUAAGGUUAUAUUUACAUCAGGAAUGGAUGAAUUUAAUCAUGUUUUGCACCGAAAAUAUUUCCAUAUUUUACCAUAAAAGCGAAGUGAUGUAACUAUUGUCCAAAAAUGUUAAUUCAUUAUAAUGUAAUUUACAUUUAAGUUCACACUACACUUGAAUUUUACAGUAGAAUGUUCAUAAUUAUUUAGUUUCAGUUUCCCAAAGGGAAGCAAAUUCUCAAUGAGCCUAGCAGCAAAAUUUUAAUAAUUAUAGCCAAGGGUAACUAGUGAGAAGCGACAGCGUCGAUACACUUUAUUGAGAAGAAUACUUUGUAUAAGCAAAAUUGUUGUAAGUCGGAUGUUGAUUCCGACUCAUUAAUAUGAUUUAAAUAUACUGACAGGGCUUUCUUCGCUAUCCAACAAUUGAAUUAUGACUGGGCAAUUAUCAGGAGAAGAGGGAAGACCGGUAAUAAUUUGUGGAUAUCCCAAAAUUGAGGCAAUUCACUGAAGCAACUACCACCUGGAGUUCAUCAAGAGUCAUUUUGGAUAUAUCACGACUUCAUGUACAAUUGACUUCAACUUCCAGGAAAGUAUCCCUCUUUAUUCAUUGUGUUUCCACUGAAGGAAGAUUUACAAAAGAUAGGUAAGGAGGGCGGAUCCUGGUAGGGGGUGUCUUAGGUACAGCUACACAAACAAUAAUCAUACAUAGUUUAACAUAUGAUACAAUAAUCUCACAGUAAACGGGUUAUAUCACAAUGUGCAGAACAGCCACUGUGAAAAAAAAUAGUGAACUUCCAAGCGCUUUCGUGAGAAAUCACGCAAACACUUGCAAGUUCACUAUUUUUUUCACAGUGGUUAUUCUGCAUAGUUUAACAUAUGUGUAAAUUACCCAGGAUAACCCCCAAAACAGUCAAAGUGACUUAUUUACAUUGGUGAGCAUAUUAUUAUUAUUAUAAUCAAGGGGGAAGCGCUAAACCCGGAGGAUUAUACAGCGCCUGGGGGGGGAUGUGGAAGGCAUUCAGGCUUAAUUCGGGGAACUGGAGCACAGAUCCAAUUCCCUAAAUCAAGAGCCCCUCACCAACAUCAAGGAACCUUCCUUGAGGGGUUCGGUGAGCAUAGAGACAAAUUAUAAUGCAGUCUGUCUUUGUAACCUGUGUAUACACAUUCUUUGUAACCAUUAUGGUAGUAUUGGUAGAUGUUAUUUAUCAUAAUUAAGACUCAGUGAUCCAAGAUCCUACUAAACACCAGUGAUAUUAAAAUUAUUAUUUUUCCUUUGAUUUACACCUCAAGCUCACAUGUGCAACCUUGAUGUUAUCUGUACAUCUGAGGGGUUUCACUCGUUUAAUUACCAUUCCAACGGCGUUAUGGGGAAUGUGUCAAGGAUAUGGCAGUGGAAGGAUAUAGUCGAGUAUGGAUUGGCUAUAUGCAAGUUCCUUAGGGACAAAAUAAUCAUAUCACAUUUCUGCCAGUUAAAAUAAUCUUGACCAUGAUGGAUCAGCUGAGAGCAUCAUCGGUUGUGUUUUGGGACCUGAGACUCACCCAGCGUCUACCGGAUACCCUCUACCACAUAAUGAGGACCUGGUAAUGCUCUGUCCCACGCACGCACUGACGCACGCACCCUCCCUCCCACGCACCCCACUACACACUUUUCUGAGAUAAAUGCAGAUGAUUUUGCAGCUCCUGGUCCCAGGAAUGGCAGUAGCUCAGGAAAACACACUCGCGUGUAAUUAAAAGGAUUCAAAGAUGUGAAGUUUUCCCAUUGUCUUAUAAGCAAGAACACAAAUGGAGUAGCGCGUCAAUGCACCUACUGGCUCAUGCUAGGCUGGUGGCUCAUGCUAAGAUGCUCCUUUUCCCCCCCUACUUAAUUAACCAUUCUCACUCUUAUAUUUAACAAUUAUUACUAAACCAGUACUUUUCUACAUCCUCUCUAAAUCUGUCUUCCACCUAGAUGUUGAAUCUUGCCGAACACCAAUUGUGAGUUUACUUUUAGUUUAAUAUCUUCAUUAUGUACACCAUACCCAUCCUGUGGGCGGUAGUCAAAGGAUUAGAGGUACAUAAUGGGUCCACGGACUGGACACCAAUUGUGACUGAUACUCUUUCUGAUUUCACCUCUGUUGACGGCUAACAGUAAUCUCUAUUUACCUAUAAAGUGUUAUUAUUUAAGCUACGUAGUUAAAUCUAACUAAACCAUCAAUGCAAUAGGAACAAACAUUUUAAAUAAAUCGUAUCCAACCAUUUUUUUUAUAUAACGUCUUAAGAACUUUUAUGAAAACAUUUCUCUUACUCGAGUAUCAAUAGCCAUACAAACUCUUCGUAUCAUCGAUCUAUCCAGUCAGUGCAAAAGAGGGGGGCUUGGGGAAGGGUAGAAAAUAACGUACGGCAGAUUUAUCUUACAGUAAAUGACACACACUGUUUGCCACUCAACAGUCUGUCAAUGACAGAAGUAAAGCCCUUUUAUAUACUUCAGGAUUAUUAUGGAAGGAAACUUUUCGCCCCGAGUAGAUUCUUCAUUAGGAUUCGUGGCAAAAUGUUUCCAUUAGAAAAACGUCUUGGAUCGUAUAUAAGUAUCUUUAUCCACAGGCUGUCAGUAUUACCAUGUCAUUUGUACCUUCAGUUUCUUUAAGAAAUAUAAGAACAUAAGAAAGAACAACGCAACAGGUCUACUGGCCUAUGCGAGGCAGGUCCAAUUCUCCCACCGGCUUAAGCCAAUGCCCUGACCUAAAGGUCAGACACGUCACUUAAGGAAGGAGCAAGACAUCAGACCUAUUAGCACAAACUAGUCAGGUCCAACUCACACCCACCCACACCCACUCAUGUAUUUAUCUAACCUAUUUUUAAAACUACACAACGUUUUAGCCUCUAUAACUGUGCUCGGGAGUUUGUUCCACUCAUUCACAACUUUAUUACCAAACCAGUGCUUUCCUAUAUCGUUCCUGAAUCCGAAUUUUUCCGAUUUAAAGCCAUUGCUGCGAGUCCUGUCUAUGUUAGAUAUUUUAAGCGCGCUGUUUACAUCCCCUUUACUAAUUCCAGUUUUCCAUUUAUAAACCUCAAUCAUAUCGCCCCUAAUUCUACGCCUUUCUAGAGAGUGCAGAUUCAGGGCCCUCAGUCUAUUCUAAUAGGGAAGAUUUCUGAUGUGACGAAUGGUUUUGAAAACCGACAAGUUGAAGAAUUGAGACACUUAUG